This is a non-coding RNA of Equus caballus (horse), 1811 nucleotides long. Lineage: Eukaryota; Metazoa; Chordata; Mammalia; Perissodactyla; Equidae. The record is from RefSeq and is a predicted model, not a curated record.
CCACCUCAACAUGGCCUGACGAGUGGUGCCAUGUCCGUGCCCAGGAUCCGAACCAGUGAAACCCUGGGCCGCCGCAGCGGAGCGCAAACUUAACCACCCGGCCACGGGGCCGGCCCCCAAGUUUGAGGUGCUUUUGAGACAUGCGAGAAAGGCAGUCAGAUCAGUCCUUAGUUGGAGAGGACUGGAGCUCAGAGCAGAGACUGAGCCAGCAAAGACAUUGAGGAAGCAGCCGCUGGAGAGACACAGAGCCCAAGCUCCACAUGGCCCAAGAUGACUGCUUGAGCUCCAGCCAUUUUGUCUGAGUUCAGCCAGCAGGAAGCCACGGGUCUGAACUCUCCAUCCCCUGGGCCACUCUGCUCCUUGAUACUGAAGUGAAAACAGCCUGAGCAUCAGCCCGUGACACCAGGCCUUCGAAGGUUCGCUUUGCCAGGCGACUUCCAAGCAAUGCUUCCUGCUCCCCGCUCUGACCUGCCGUGUGUCACCUCGGCCACCUCCCUUCCUCUGGACCACUGCCCUACUCCCGAGAAAUGGGUCACCUCCUGCCGUCUGGUGACAUUUCCAGGCUCCAGCUCCCAGGAUGGCUUCUCUGGGCCCGGCGCCCUCCCUGAAUCCCCUAAAACGUGGCUACCACCAGCCUGACGAAAGCUGACUGCAGGUUUGGGGAGAAGAGAAGGUGGAUUUAAACUGGAGGUCGCUGCUGUGAAAGUCUGGGACUCUCCACUGGGGCCGCACCAGCUGCUUUCUUCUUAGCCCCAGCAGCCUCAGCGCAGGGACUGGCUGACCUCCCGCAAGUGUGAAUGCCCUUGACUGGGUCCCUGCUGCCCAGAGUGCAGACUUCCACAGCCCCCACCCCAGGGGCAGGAGCAGUCCUGGCCCCCCCGUCCAAAGCCUGCUUCAGCUCCUGGUCCUGCACAUUGACGGUGGGAUAUUCGUUCUCUCGGGGGGAAACCCCCACCCUCAUCAUGGGGCCUGGUCAGGCUGGACCACCACAGCAGAUGGCUGCCUAGCCCAAGUCAGGCUGGCGGCACCACCCACAGCCCCACAGCCCCAUCCAGUGGCUCUUGUUCAGCCUGGACAGCCUCUUUCCAGCGGUUCCACUGAGGUCAGACCUGCCUCCAUUAUCCUCCUGUUUGCAGAUGGCAGGAUCAAUGCCCCCCCCAUAUACACACACCCACACAUGCGCACACACAUACAUACGUGCACACACGCAUGCACAUACACACAUACAUGCACACACAUUCACACACACAUACACACACUGAUUUUUCUGCAUGGAGUGGUUCAAAAUCCAGAUUAGAAAAAAAAAUGUUCUUUAACUAGCAGACCUACUUUAUAUAAAUGAAUAAAGUACCUAACAUCCUAGUCUAACACAGCUGGCUUUGGGCUUCCCCGAGAACAGCAGGGGUCUCUUACUUGGCAGCUGCCUGACCAAGAUGGCCCAUGGAGGUGAUCUUUCCAGAACAAUCUAGAACAAAGGGAGCGUCUUCUCUGCAAACGGAUUCCCUCUCCUGCCCUAGAAUGUAGAAGCUGUUUCUAACCUUUAACACAGCAGUUUCUAGCAUCAGCAGUUUUAAGAUGCAUGGGACCAGCAUUUUAUUAAAAUGAAUGUUUGAUAAUUUGGCAGAUUAAAAAUUGUACCUCAAUUUGAUUUAAUUUGUAUUCUGAUAAUUACUAGAAAAAUCGAACUCUGGCCCACUUAUAUUUCCUCCUAUGUGAAUUGUCUAUUUAGAUCAUGAAACUAUAUUUCUGUCUGCUAACAGGGGAGAUGUUUUUCCAAGUUUUCCAUUUUCAUUUUAACUUUAUUUUUGACA